RNAcentral lists this ribosomal RNA (293 nucleotides) under uncultured bacterium. RNAcentral describes it as "partial 16S ribosomal RNA". It matches the Rfam family "Bacterial small subunit ribosomal RNA", at positions 505 to 796 of the family's 1533-position model. The record is from RNAcentral.
GUGUCAGCAGCCGCGGUAAGACGAACCGUGCGAACGUUAUUCGGAUUCACUGGGCUUAAAGCGCGUGUAGGCGGGCCGGCACGUCGGAUGCUGAAAGCCCCCGGCUCAACCGGGGAACGGGCACCGAUACGACCGGCCUGGAGGGGGGUAGGGGGAGCCGGAACUUCCGGUGGAGCGGUGAAAUGCGUUGAGAUCGGAAGGAACGCCCGUGGCGAAAGCGGGCUCCUGGACCCCACCUGACGCUGAGACGCGAAAGCCAGGGGAGCAAACGGGAUUAGAAACCCCGGUAGUCC